GAAUUGACGGGACCGCACAAGCGGUGGAUGAUGUGGUUAAUUCGACGCAACGCGAAGAACCUUACCAGGGCUUGACAUCCUCUGGUCGCUGUAGAGAUACAGCUUUCCCUUCGGGGACAGAGAGACAGGUGGUGCAUGGUUGUCGUCAGCUCGUGUCGUGAGAUGUUGGGUUAAGUCCCGCAACGAGCGCAACCCUUGUCACUAGUUGCCAUCAUUUGGUUGGGCACUCUAGUGAGACUGCCGGUGACAAACCGGAGGAAGGUGGGGAUGACGUCAAGUCCUCAUGGCCCUUAUGGGUAGGGCUUCACACGUCAUACAAUGGUCGGUACAGAGGGUUGCCAAGCCGCGAGGUGGAGCCAAUCCCUUAAAGCCGAUCGUAGUCCGGAUCGUAGUCUGCAACUCGACUACGUGAAGUCGGAAUCGCUAGUAAUCGCAGAUCAGCAUGCUGCGGUGAAUACGUUCCCGGGUCUU
Molecule: ribosomal RNA, 471 nt
Filed under: uncultured Thauera sp.
Lineage: Bacteria; Pseudomonadati; Pseudomonadota; Betaproteobacteria; Rhodocyclales; Zoogloeaceae
Description: bacterial SSU rRNA
Rfam family: Bacterial small subunit ribosomal RNA
Source: RNAcentral